UGAGGAAUAUUGGGCAAUGCCCGAAAGGGUGACCCAGCAACGCCGCGUGGAGGAUGAAGGUCGUAAGAUUGUAAACUCCUGUUAGAGGGGACGAAUAUCACCGAUCGACUCGGUGUUUGACUGUACCCUCAGAGAAACCCCCGGCUAACUACGUGCCAGCAGCCGCGGUAAUACGUAGGUGGCAAGCGUUGUCCGGAUUCACUGGGUGUAAAGGGCGCGCAGGCGGGUUAACAAGUCAGAGGUGAAAUCCUACAGCUUAACUGUAGAACUGCCUUUGAAACUGUUAAUCUUGAGUGCGGAAGAGAGAGACGGAAUUCCAGGUGUAGCGGUGAAAUGCGUAGAUAUCUGGAAGAACACCAGUUGCGAAGGCGGUCUCUUGGUCCGUUACUGACGCUCAGGCGCGAAAGCGUGGGGAGCAAACAG
RNAcentral lists this ribosomal RNA (423 nucleotides) under uncultured bacterium. Its description in RNAcentral is "bacterial SSU rRNA". It matches the Rfam family "Bacterial small subunit ribosomal RNA", at positions 355 to 775 of the family's 1533-position model. The record is from RNAcentral.